RNAcentral lists this unclassified non-coding RNA (57 nucleotides) under Candidatus Phytoplasma solani. RNAcentral describes it as "partial 16S-23S ribosomal RNA intergenic spacer". The record is from RNAcentral. Lineage: Bacteria; Bacillati; Mycoplasmatota; Mollicutes; Acholeplasmatales; Acholeplasmataceae.
AAUAGGUCACAUCUUAAAAAAGCUCUUUGAAAAGUAGAUAAACAAAGGUUAGAAAAU